GCCCAAGUGGUGGAAUUGGUAGACACGCCAGCUUGAGGGGCUGGUGGUAGUAAUACUGUAGGAGUUCGAGUCUCCUCUUGGGCA
This 84-nucleotide transfer RNA is filed under the name Spirochaetia bacterium. RNAcentral describes it as "tRNA-Leu". It matches the Rfam family "tRNA". From Rfam's summary of the family: Transfer RNA (tRNA) molecules are approximately 80 nucleotides in length. Their secondary structure includes four short double-helical elements and three loops (D, anti-codon, and T loops). Lineage: Bacteria; Pseudomonadati; Spirochaetota; Spirochaetia. The record is from RNAcentral.